AACAGUUAUACCUCGUUUCGGUCCAUACUCCCCUGACUUUGAUGGCUUCAGUGUUGCACAAACUUUGAGAUAUUGGUCAUACAUCACAAGAAGUAAAAGCUUCAAAGAGUCAAUGUUGAAGGCUUGCUAAGUUGUAUUCUGAAUUUCUUUGGCAUGCCACUAGGAUAAAUUACUAGGUCUCAUAUGAUUUUUUCAAAAGUGGCCACAAAGAAGACAGACUACCAAAUAGAGCUUCAAGCUCCUUGAGUGUAAUUCAUUUUUAAUGAGAAUAGAAAACCAAUUAAAUAAGAUUUGAA
This 296-nucleotide long non-coding RNA is filed under the name Citrus sinensis (sweet orange). RNAcentral describes it as "long non-coding RNA (CSIN_LNC005781)". Lineage: Eukaryota; Viridiplantae; Streptophyta; Magnoliopsida; Sapindales; Rutaceae. The record is from RNAcentral.